This 2140-nucleotide long non-coding RNA is filed under the name Homo sapiens (human). Its description in RNAcentral is "HSALNT0284271". The record is from RNAcentral. Lineage: Eukaryota; Metazoa; Chordata; Mammalia; Primates; Hominidae.
CUUUCAUCCAGAAUGAGGGAUGUAACAGGAGAAAUAUCCCAGUAGUGUGGGAAAGCUAAUUAGGGGUUUGUACCCAUGGGAACUAUGGGAUAAAACUUCUAAAAUGUGGUGAUACUGAACAGUUGCUCUGAAUUGAUGUCUCCUUUGGAUUCUCCCUAAAGAUAAGCAUGAAGCUUAGAGCCCAGCCACCCUCAAAAAAUUGAUUAAAUUGGACAGAACUCUGCUUUAAAAUCAAACAGAGGAGUGCACUCGUGAAAGCAUCAAGGAAAGCAACAACAACACAGGAGGUGGGAAAGGACCCAACCUUUGCCUGAACAACAGUCACUCUUACAAGGAAAUCAGAAAAUCGUUCUUAAUUCUUUUCUCAUUGGUAACCAGGAUUUUGCCUUUCUCAAGCACUUAGGAGGUAAGCACUGGGCUAUGUGCAUGUUUUGGGGAGGUAUUUUCUCUACUAAUGGAUGGCCAGGUGAUCACCCCAAAUAAUUUCUCAUCAACAGCCUACAUGCAAUACACUGGAAUCUUUAUCCUUCAGGGCCUUGGCUUGAUAGUCCACCAAGGGGGCAGCCAGUUCCAGACAUGGUGUUCUUGUGGUCCCUACUACUAAUGGCAUAUCAGCUUGCCAUUGUCCAUUAUACAACCUUGUUGGUAGUCCCUCUGCCUUAGAAUGAGUGGUGGAAGUCCCAGAGACCAUCUGCCAGACACAGGCCCCACAUGUUGUCAUUUCAUGCCAGCAUACAACUAACAAUAGCUAUCUCCUCAGUAGUGAGAAUGACGCUUUAGGUGGAAGGAGGUGCCAGUACUUGAGAGAAACCAUAGAACACAAUGCAAAUCCAAAGUGCAAGCUGGCAGUUCCAUCCCAGACAACCUUCACGGUAUUAGGAACUUAUUCUUUGGAAAAGAGCAGUUAAUUAAAUCUGUCCACAUGUUCUUGGUCCUGACUGAGCCAUUUGGUUUGUGAAAUAAAUUGUUCUGAUCACCUACUGUUCACCCCAUUGGUGAAAGAGGGAUCCCAUUCCCUAACAGUACAAGACUGUUGAACACAGACACCUGACACUAGACAGAUGAGAUAAACACCUGUUUAUUAGUUACAUCUGUUUACAAUCUGUGGCAGUAGAAGACCACACACCAUACAGAGCCACAAGGAGGGUGACACUGGGUAACAGAGUAAAAGAGAAGGCCUACAGAAAGCCUUCUUUCUAAUAACAGGAGGACGGGGUGCUCCUUAGUCCCUGUGUAAAGAUGUGAUUGGCUUCUUUGAAUAAUUUUGCCGUUUGUCAAAUAACUGAAACCUGUUAGGUCAAGGACUGAGUAGGGUGCAGCUGAUUUGGCCAAUGAGGAAACAUUCCUGGUGGGAAACUUUCCCACUGUGUGGGGAGCCAUAUCAGGUUGGGAAAACACAUGGCUAGGACUUUGGGACCCUGUGAAACUCAAAGAUGUCAAAGUAGCACUUGAAAUUAUAGGACUGACAAAACAGAAUGUCCUAAUAAAUUACCACGGACUUGGUGCUUAAAACAACAGAAAUGUAUUCUCUAACAGUUCCGGUGGCUUCAUGUUCAACAUCAGUAUCACUGGGCAAAAAUCAAGGUGUGGGCAGGAUCACACUCUGGAGGCUCUAGAGGAGAAUAUUCCCUGUCCUGUCUACGUCUCGUGGCUGCCUGCAUUCCUUUGCUUGUGGCUGCACUGCUCCAAUUUCUGCCUUCACAUUGCUUUCACCUAUUCUGUGUGUGUGGUGGUUUAAUCUCUCUCUGCAUCUCUCUUAUAAGGAAAGUUGUGAUUGAAUUAAAGGCCACACUGAUAAACUAGGAUAAUCUCCCCUACUUCAAGAUUCUUAACCUAAUUACAUCUGCAAAGGACCUUUCUCUUAUAAAGUAACAUUUAGAGAUUCCAAGGAUUCAAACCUGAUAUCUUUGGGUGGUCAUUACUUAUACUGCAAAAAAUUUGGGUCAUUUAAAAAAUCUGUUCUAACAAUCUCUGACUUUAAAUUCCUGUGUGUAAACAUUUACACUAAUGUAAUAAUUGGUAUGUUCAGAUUUAGAUAUACCAUUUUAUUAUUUGUUUUCUAUUUGUUUCUUGUGAUUUUUGUUGCAAUAUUUCCUUGUACUCUGUUUUUGGGGGUUAUUUAAACAUUUGUUCUUAUUCC